GCCGGACUCUACUCCCCCCCUCCUCCUCCUCCUCCUCCCUCUCCCUCGACGCUCGGCAGCGACCCGCCGCCCCCACGAGGCAGCCGCGCGCUCGCGCCUCGACUCAAAAGCAACGGCUCAGCGUUCGCUCGCUCGCUCGCCCCCCGGGAGAGGGAGAGAGGGAGGGAGUGGGGCUGUGGGGCUUCGGCCGCUCUCAUUUACAUCUUCAACAGGGGUCAACUUGGCCUAGUGAUGCUGUCGAUAUCCUCCACUGCUCCGUGUCACUGUAGGCUGCACAUCUACACGCUCGACUUCUGUGGGAUCUCCAGCGGCAUCCAAUCCAUGCGAUCCCCCAGCUGCUGCAGGGCCUCCAGUAGCCGACAUUUUGACCCACGAGCAUGCCAUCUCCUCGCCUCCCGCAGCUACCGCUUCACUUCCAUGCACUGGGGCACCUCUGCGCAGCCGACCUUGGAUCGCCAGGAUGCCUCCGAGAGUGCAGGAGACGAGCCCACAAUCCACGCACCGGCACUGAUCUUCUCCUCUAUUCAUGAUGCAAGAGUGUCUCCAGAUGAAUAGCUAUUUCAAGAAACCAGCACAGGAAUGAAUCAUUGAACAAACUCCUCACAGGAUGUUAUAAGCUACUUACAAGAUUUGUAUCAAUGUAAACUUUACGGUUCUGAAGUUUGAGCUGCAAUAUGAAACAUUCUUCUGUAAAUCAUCACACAUUUCUUGACUCUUUAAUUCUGUGUUGUUAGUAUUUGUGCAAUUAAUUAAAAAACGGAUAUAUUUAUUUUUGUUAUAUAUUAAAAUGUGUGAAGUAAA
Long non-coding RNA from Amblyraja radiata (thorny skate), 801 nucleotides. RefSeq lists it as uncharacterized. Lineage: Eukaryota; Metazoa; Chordata; Chondrichthyes; Rajiformes; Rajidae. The transcript has 3 exons. The record is from RefSeq and is a predicted model, not a curated record.